Molecule: ribosomal RNA, 253 nt
Filed under: uncultured bacterium
Lineage: Bacteria
Description: partial 16S ribosomal RNA
Rfam family: Bacterial small subunit ribosomal RNA
Source: RNAcentral
UACGGAGGGGGCUAGCGUUGUUCGGAAUUACUGGGCGUAAAGCGCGCGUAGGCGGUCCUGCAAGUCGGGGGUGAAAGCCCGAGGCUCAACCUCGGAACUGCCUUCGAUACUGCGGGUCUCGAGUCCGGGAGAGGUGAGUAGAAUUCCUAGUGUAGAGGUGAAAUUCGUAGAUAUUAGGAAGAACACCAGUGGCGAAGGCGGCUCACUGGCCCGGUACUGACGCUGAGGCGCGAAAGCGUGGGGAGCAAACAGG